RNAcentral lists this unclassified non-coding RNA (201 nucleotides) under Rozellomycota sp. RNAcentral's name for it is "Cryptomycota sp. partial contains small subunit ribosomal RNA, internal transcribed spacer 1, and 5.8S ribosomal RNA". The stretch from base 1 to 47 matches the Rfam family "Eukaryotic small subunit ribosomal RNA", at positions 1785 to 1831 of the family's 1831-position model. The record is from RNAcentral. Lineage: Eukaryota; Fungi; Rozellomycota.
AAAGUCGUAACAAGGUUUCCGUAGGUGAACCUGCGGAAGGAUCAUUACAAAUCAUUGCGAGCUCAGUCAUUUACUUGGCUGAGUAAGCACAUUGGCACAAGACUGCAUUAACGUGCAGUCUUGAUGUUUACGCUUGUUUGUUUGACAGAGUAAAAUGUGACUAAAUAUAGACAACUUUUAACAAUGGAUCUCUUGGCUCUU